This is a non-coding RNA of Paramuricea clavata, 899 nucleotides long. The record is from the annotation of a GenBank genome assembly. NCBI's taxonomy places the organism in Eukaryota, Metazoa, Cnidaria, Anthozoa, Malacalcyonacea, Plexauridae.
UGAUCACAAAUGAUUUAGCCCAAUGUGUUGGUAAUUACUAUAAGAAACAAAGCUACGAAACAUAUUGAGGGGUCCAUAUUAGUCGUAUAUUAAUUAAGGAUGCAAAUAGCUGAAUUUUAGGGAAAAAUGUACGUUUGCGUGAAUAGUUACAGGGCUUAAACUACAGCAAAUUGUCUGAAAUUUUGUACAGUGAUUAAAAACCCAACAAAUUUUCCAUCUAUGAACUCAAAAUAUGAUUAAAGCUUUUAGAUUUUGUGCAAGCCAUUUUUAUUUUGUUGGAAAAGACACCCCCUCCCCGGUUCACAAAAUUUGAGUUCGAGAAAUUUGUUUCAUUAUUCUACAUUAUAAGUAUACCCAAAGAAGCUAUAUAUAUAAAAAACUGGAUACUAAUAGCUGUUUUGUGAAAUUGAGAGCAAAUUCAGAUCUGUUCAGUUUUUUUUAUACACCCUGUAAUGCUCACUGGAAUAGGCCUACCCUGUUACAUCUCAUACUACAAAUCUCUUUAAUACGAAACCUCACGGAAACCUCACCUCCCUAAUAUUACAAUAACCUAUGUUCCAACAAAAUUUUCACACAAAUUUUCUUUAGAAAACCUCUAUAAUACGGCAUAAUCAAAUACGGUCACUCUGCUCUGUCCUUUUGGUGUCCGUAUCAGAGAUCGCAAUACGACUGUAUACCUUUCAUUUUUUGUCCAUGUUAUCAAGUUUUCUUGAACCCCCAGCUAGCUAGGUGUGAGGCUGACAACAUUCCCAUUAAUGUUGGUGAUAGUCCAGGAACAAUAAAUAAAUUAUUCGUAUUCAUGACGUCAUGUAAUCACAGUCGGUGCAUUCCUGCCAGUAAAUUCUUGAAUGUUGGAAAUUUUCAAUGCUAUAUCGACAAGCGGUUUCAACACGUUCUGU